AUAAAUUUUUUGGUAAACCUGAAAUUGGCUUCUAUGGUUUAGCUCAUUUUCACCUAUGUGGUUAAAAAAGUUUCACUUUAAAAUUUUGAGACUUAAAUUUUAUUUUACCAAAAAAUUCUAUAUGAAUUAGGAUGGCAAAUCAAAAGUUUUUAAUAAACUAUAGGACGGCAAAGUGAAAAAUGUACUAAAUUACAAGAAGGCAAAGUGUAACUUUUUGAACCAUUGGAUAGCAAAGUGAAAAUAAGUUAAAACACAGGAAGGCAAAGUGACAUUAUUUAAAACACAAGAUCACAAACUAGGGGUGCAUUUAACAUUUGAUAUUCUUAAAAUUUAUUUAACAUAGAUGAUCUCAACAUAUAGGAGAUCUCUAUAUAUAGAUUUGUAUACAAUCUCUAAAAUAUUAUAAUUAAAAAAAAGUCUAAUUCUUACGAAAUAUUAUAAUUAAAAAAAUAUAAUUCUUACGCGUCUGCAAAAAUCAGCAAUGUUUGCUUCUAAAGUUUAUUAUAUUAGGUAUAAAACAUUGUAAUUUUCAUAGAUGGAUCUUUUAAUGGUGUAGAUAAUGUUGNAAUUAAAUUACACACAGGAACAUCGUCAACAGAGAGUCUAAUUGCACUGUCAAAAUCUCAGUCCUUAUAUUAUUGGCCUUCAAGUGACAUAGAAGAUGGAAAGCCACCUAUCUUUUUGCAAGUGAAUAAUUUAAGGAGUUUUUCAAUUAAUAGCGAAAUUAAUAAGUUUAUUAGUUUUCCUCUUUAUAAUGGAUCUUUUCAUCUUCCACUUGAAAUAUUAAAGAAAUAAAUAAAAUUAUGUCAUUAACUAUAAAUUUUUGGGUAAACCUCAAAUUGGCCUGUAUGGUUUAGCUCAUUUUCAUCCAUGUGGUUAAAAAAGUUUUACCUUAAAUUCUUCUAGCUUAAAUUUUAUUUACCAAAAAAUUCUAUAUGAAUUAGAGUGGCAAAACAAAAGUUUUUAAUAAACUAUAGGAUGACAAAGUGAAAAAUGCACUAAGUCACAAGAGGGUAAAGUGUAACUUUUUGAACCAUUGGAUAGCAAAUUGAAAAUAAGUUAAAACACAAGGAAGCAAAGUGAUAUUGUUUGACGCACAAGAUCGCAAACUAGGGGUGCAUUUAAAUUUUGAUAUUCUUAAAAUUUAAUUUAACAUAUAUGAUCUCAACAUAUAGGAGAUCUUUAUAUAUGGUGUGACGCAUUGGACCUUGCAAAUUGUGGGGUUCGAGUGAUUAAUUGUGUUUCGAGCUUUUCCAGACUUUCUGGUGCGUCGUUGACAGUGUUCCGACCUAUGGUUCGAGUCCCGAGAAUUGUGGUUUGAAACGGUGUACCAAAAUCCAAAAAGUUGGAUUUUUGGUUAGCUCUCGGGUAGCCUUCAGCAGGCUGCGUACCGGUACGGGUUCGCUUGCUGUACCGGUACGUGAUCGAUUGCUGUACCGGUACGUGGUUGUGUACCGGUACACAGACCAAUUCCCAGCAAAACCCGAGGCUCGGGUUUGGCUUUUCUUGGGUGGUGUACUGGUACACAAACCCAUGUACCGGUACACAGUGCAGAGUGGGCUGUUUUCGUGGAGGGGUGUUUUUGCAAUUGUUGCAACACCUAUAUAUGACACCCCAGCCCCUUUGUGAGCUCCUUUGAGCCCUAGACCAGUGGAGAAAAGGUGAGAACUCCUCCCCUAUGGUUUCUUCUCCAUUUUUGUUAGGUUUUUNUGCAUUUAAAUUUUGAUAUUCUUAAAAUUUAAUUUAACAUAUAUGAUCUCAACAUAUAGGAGAUCUCUAUAUAUGGAUUUGUAUACAAUCUCUUAAAUAUUAUAAUUAAAAAAAAAUCUAAUUCUUAUGCGUUUGCGAAAAUCAGCAAUAUUGAUUCUAAAGUUUAUUAUAUUAGGUAUAAAACAUUGUAAUUUUCAUAGAUGGAUCUUUUAAUGGUGUAGAUUAUAUUGAUUUGGAUUUAAAUUUUAAAAUUUUUAAAAAUCAAUUAGAAUUGAACAUUAUAUUAGUUCUUUUGAGCAUUUCUUUUU
Molecule: long non-coding RNA, 2018 nt
Filed under: Ananas comosus (pineapple)
Lineage: Eukaryota; Viridiplantae; Streptophyta; Magnoliopsida; Poales; Bromeliaceae
Description: long non-coding RNA (ACOM_LNC016542)
Source: RNAcentral